This 83-nucleotide transfer RNA is filed under the name Termitomyces sp. T159_Od127. RNAcentral's name for it is "tRNA-Lys". It matches the Rfam family "tRNA". Rfam says of the family: Transfer RNA (tRNA) molecules are approximately 80 nucleotides in length. Lineage: Eukaryota; Fungi; Basidiomycota; Agaricomycetes; Agaricales; Lyophyllaceae. The record is from RNAcentral.
GCCCGCCUAGCUCAAUCGGCCAGAGCGUCAGACUUUUAAGGCAUGUCAUCUGAAGGCUGCGAGUUCGACCCUCGCGGUGGGCU